UUUGAUUGUUGCUCAGAAGGCGU
RNAcentral lists this microRNA (23 nucleotides) under Cordylochernes scorpioides. The record is from RNAcentral. Lineage: Eukaryota; Metazoa; Arthropoda; Arachnida; Pseudoscorpiones; Chernetidae.